This is a long non-coding RNA of Cavia porcellus (domestic guinea pig), 685 nucleotides long. RefSeq lists it as uncharacterized. NCBI's taxonomy places the organism in Eukaryota, Metazoa, Chordata, Mammalia, Rodentia, Caviidae. The transcript is spliced from 3 exons. The record is from RefSeq and is a predicted model, not a curated record.
ACGGCUCUGAGCCGUUCAGGGAGAGGCAGGAGGAAAGACCACAGGCUCCACCAAGGAGGCCCGGAGAAGGGUUCCCAAAACUAGAGGAGAGCGCCUUGUGAAAGAGGCAACAGAAAGCCAGGAUCCCACCGUGAACUCCACCCUCAGCGCCAGCGCCUGCCAGAAAGCACCUACCAGUUCUUGUUCCACUUGUGCGCGAACUCUACCAUGAGCAGCAGCUGGAUGACUAUGAACAGGAAGCCUCCGACAGCACCCACAUAGCGCCAGACUGCAGGAGAGCGGGUCCCCAAAGAGCCCAGUGGACGCACCUUUCAGGAAGGUCUCCUGGUCCGGGAUGAAGAAGGCUCCAGAGCACAUGGCCCCCAGCAGCAGCAGCUUGAAGAACCAGAAGCUGGAGGAGAGGAAACAUGGAAGUGGCACUCCAGAGGCAUGGAGGCCCCUACACGGCAGCACCCAUCCUGCCCAGGUGAUGUUCUCUCCAUAAGGAGGAGAUGGAAGGAAGCCGCUGGAGACCCCAGUUAGACUGGCCCGAGCCCCACCCUAUUAUGCAAACACCGAUGCACCCGGGGGAGCAACCUGGGCCAGUGUUGCUCUGGGAAAUAAAUCCUCCCCGCCCAAGAACAGCAUUCUGGUCUCCAGGCCAGGAUCUAACUCUGGAGGGCGGGAUGAGGGACGCACCCAUUGU